This is a long non-coding RNA of Sus scrofa (pig), 1674 nucleotides long. RefSeq lists it as uncharacterized. The record is from RefSeq and is a predicted model, not a curated record. Lineage: Eukaryota; Metazoa; Chordata; Mammalia; Artiodactyla; Suidae.
CUGGGAGGAAAAGGAAAGUGAGACCCAGGGCAGGGGUGGGCUGCCCCUCCUCCCACCUCCUCCUCAGCGCUUCCUGCUGGGGCAACUCUUGAGGCUACAUGGGGAGCCUGAGUUUGUCCCUGGGGGCUGGGGCCUGAGCCGGCCUGCGGUCUGCCUGCCAGACUGGGGGCACCUCUGGGCCUGCCUGUGGGUCUGGUUCCCUCACCCAGGCUCUCCUGGGAAAGCAGAGGUAAGGAGGGCCUGCCCAGAGUACUUUCGGGCAGCAAUGACUUCAGUGUUUGUCCCUAAAAUAAAUGCACCACAGACAAGACAGUGUGGUCAGGGGCUGAGGACUUACUGUAAAUACCAGCCCCGGGCUUCCUAUUUCUGUUUCUCUGACUCCCCGGGGGGCAGGCGCCGGCCAGCUCCUUUCUAGCGCAUCUCUUCUUACUGCUGCAUCCAAGGAAAGGGCUCGGCCUGGACAUUCCUCAUUGGAAGGUCCCAGGAACACUUUGAGGGUUUGGAGCAGGAACCCCGCUCUCCCAGGGGGGUUAUGCUCAGGGUCUGUCUUCCCCCAAGAAAGGGGCACAAAGCCUAAGUGUGAGGAGCUGUGCUGUGUAUAUUCUGAGAGCCUCACAACAAACCCCAAACAUGGGAGAGCAAACAAUGACAUCUACGAUGCAAGCAUAUGAUAGACACUUUCUUAAAGGCUGUACCUGGUUCAUCACAUACAGUUCUCACCAGAGUCAUAGGGUGGGAAUCAAGACAAGAAUGUAAAGAUCCUUGCCUAAGGGCACCCCGUCUGUAAACUGCAAGUUCAACGCCAGCAGCCUGGCUCCAGACCUGCAUUCUUAACUCCUGCACUGUGCAGUGAAGAUAAGAACGACCUCAUCCUGCAGACGGAGGCAAGCUGUCCAAAGAGAGGACCCUCACUGCAGCAGUCCUAAAGUGCAUCCACAUUCCAGAAAAUAACAACUCAAUUCUCCAGACAAGUGUGCUCAUCUUAUUUUUAAAGAGACACCCACGUCACUGCUAAAGGAACAUCAAAUUUAUGAUUGUAUCUGUGAACUCAGUUUUAUAAAACAAUGCGUUGACCAUUAAGAAAUGGAAAUGGCUAACAGACUGGAAAAAUCAUCUUCACUGGAAUAAAAUAAGUGACAAGUCAUUGAAAAGUGAGACCUUAUUUUACCCUCUCAGACAAACCCUGUGAUGGAGGUCUAAGUGGGUCACUUAAGGGACUGUUAUCAAAAGCCUUAGCAUUUUUAUUCUUAUGCAUCAAGCAAUUCUUUGGUUGAGCGUGUCCACUUAAGGAAACAUUCAAAAACAAAGGUUUUAUGGACAGAGAGGUUCAUCACAGUUUUAGUUAAUACUAAAAAAAUAUAGAAAAUAGAAAUAUUCUGUAAAAGAAGGUUGGUUAAAGAAAUGAUGUUAUGUCCAGGAGGGAAGUGGUUAAGUGUAUAGACUUAGACAAAACCUCCUCUGGUUACACCUUCUAUCACAGUGCUAAGUGCUUUGUGUGUCUUGAGCCAUCCAGUCCUCCCAACGGAAGCCGUGGGAGGCAGGAGCACGGGGGAAAGUGCUCAAUGAAUGAUCAAUUAUGCCUUGUGAAAUAAGUCGGGCAGGGAAAGACAAACACCAUAUGACAUCCCUUGUAUGUGGAAUCCAAAAAAAAAAAAAAAAAACCCAACAAACUUA